RNAcentral lists this ribosomal RNA (394 nucleotides) under uncultured bacterium. RNAcentral's name for it is "partial 16S ribosomal RNA". It matches the Rfam family "Bacterial small subunit ribosomal RNA", at positions 523 to 918 of the family's 1533-position model. The record is from RNAcentral.
AUACGUAGGGGGCGAGCGUUAUCCGGAAUUAUUGGGCGUAAAGAGUGCGUAGGUGGUUACCUAAGCAGGGGGUGAAAGGCACUGGCCUAACCAAUGUCAGCCCCCUGAACUGGGCUACUUGAGUGCAGGAGAGGGAAGUGGAAUUCCUAGUGUAGCGGUGAAAUGCGUAGAUAUUAGGAGGAACACCGGCGGCGAAGGCGACUUUCUGGACUGUUACUGACACUGAGGCACGAAAGUGUGGGGAGCAAACAGGAUUAGAUACCCUGGUAGUCCACACCGUAAACGAUGAGCACUAGGUGUCGGGUAAGCAAUUACUCGGUGCCGCAGUUAACGCAUUAAGUGCUCCGCCUGGGGAGUACGUACGCAAGUAUGAAACUCAAAUGAAUUGACGGGG